Pezoporus flaviventris is the source of this 3184-nucleotide long non-coding RNA. RefSeq lists it as uncharacterized. NCBI's taxonomy places the organism in Eukaryota, Metazoa, Chordata, Aves, Psittaciformes, Psittacidae. The transcript is spliced from 2 exons. The record is from RefSeq and is a predicted model, not a curated record.
AUCCUUGCACUGAUGGCGGACUCAGGCUGGUAUCAAAGGUUCUCUGCCUCCCUGGUUCCAGCACAGCAACUGGAAGGCAGCAUUUUGAUAGCAGCUUUUCAUUACUGGCCCUAUUUGUCAGACCUUUCAGCCACCCAUCCAGGAACAAGAAAGCCACCUUGCAGCUCUGCUCAUCCCAGUCUGUCUCCUUGGUGAUGGGGUUCAAAGGAAGCUAGGUAGCACUUGAAGAUGCCCCUACAACAUCUUCUGGCUUGGGCAUGAUGGGAUAAGGCCAGAGCAGGAAAAGUUAGAGCUGAUGAGGACCCACAGCUGCUGCCUAUACCUGUAUGUGUACAGUGCCCUGCUUGGCCUCCCAACCCUGUGCUUGGAGGCCAUCACCCUAUUUGCUGCCAUGACCAAGGCUGCUUGUUUGGUUUCCAAAGUGUUCGGACUGUUACGAAUGGCCAAACCCCAACUACUUCCAGCAGAGACCUUCCCCAGGGAAACUGCUCUGGGAAAUCUGCUUGGGAAAGAGGGAAGAAACUACCACCAUUUUUUAUGGAAAAGAAAAUGAAUCAUUAUUGAACAGUUCUGACAAUAAUUGAGUCAACCUAAGCCAGACACUUUAAAGUCUCUCCCCAUUAAGAAUCACACUUAACCCAGAUGUGCAGUUUGAAGGACCAAAGCUUUGGGGGAAGAUCUUGCGGCACCGAAGCAUCAUGAAGCCAUAAUGCAGCAGCAGCAGCCAGGAGAAAAUUCUUCUGCUUUUCAGCUUAUCCAGGUCAAACCAGGCAACCCAAACAUCCCCCCUGCCUUCAGAUGCUGGCAGUUUCUGGACAGCAUCGUGUACAAGAUAACCUCCUCUGCCAAGCCGCCACUAAACUGCUUUGAGAGCAGCAAAAGCAGCACAAGGAGCCGGGCAGCACCCGGUGACACAGAUCUAAUCACCCCACCAUUUGCCCCAAACGUCUCUCUGCCAGGCAGUGACAUUUCUACGCUGUCUCAGCUCUCUCCCUCCAUCACCAUGGUUACAACAGCCGCCAAUCCACAGGCGAGUCCUUCCUAGGUACCACCAAGCCCUUUGGGAGAUGCUUCGAGAGCCAGCCCCUUUGGCAGGGAGACACUUCGGGGACCCCGGGACAGCCCAUAGCACCAAAAAUUCCCCUUUUUUUCUUCUUUCCCUCCUCCUUUAUUAUUUUCUCUUUUUCUCCUUUUUUUGAAGCACAAACAAUGGAGCUAAAAGGUUGGGUAUCAGGCCGAUAAUCAUGAAUGACGUGUCGUUAUUACACACCACACAUUCAUUAUCUCCCAGUCCAGCCAUGUCACAGGCGGCUGGAGGAGGGCAGAUAACGGGGUGCCUUCAUGCAGAUGGCUUAUUAUCAGGAUGUUCCAGGAGGGGCUUUAAGACAGUUAGUGAUGCUGUUUGCCAGUUAAAGAUUAGAGACCCCAGAGAAUAAUUAACAAUCCCAAACCCCAGUUUUUCUGCUGGAUUCUUCUGCUUUCUCCCCCCUCCCCAUCCUCUUUAAUCUAUUCACUCUAGCAGGUGUAAUAAAGCGAUAAGGACAGGCUCCAGGGAUGUUUGUUUGGCUACUACGGGUGUAUAAACCAACAAUGGAUGGUAUUUUACUUCUGGCUUUCAGUGCCUUGAAUCAAGACCAAAAACUUUGCAGCCCACUUGCCCACACACAGACACCCCAACAUGCCACGUUCCCGGCUCCCACAUGGGUGACCAGGCUUUUCCCCAGCCCAAUGGAUUACAAUGGUGGGACAGGCUCCCUUUUUGCUUCUGGAGGACCAAAUUGCAUCGCUUGGGUGUCGAGGUGCCCAAUGCCAGGUACAAUGCUCAGGGCUGGAGCUGAUGGUCCUUCCAGCAGCCAUUUACCUCCAUACAGCAAGUCUCUAACUAAGCCACCUUGGAAUAAUUUAUACAGUAGGUAUCCACCUGCUCAAGCUGCUUCAGGGCUGUGGUCACAGCUGAAACAUCUUAAACAUCCAUCCCUAAAGUGCCUCAGGAGAGAUUAGGGGAGCAUUAGAGUACAGGUGGCUUUCAACAAGAUGUCCUGUUAUCAGGGGAUCUGAGAGACAACUUUCACCCUCCUAGGCCACAAAGGAAAGCUGUGAUACGUCUCCUAAUGAGGCAGCAGUGCAAAAAGACCAUUCUGAAUGUCCUCUGCCCAAGAGGAGACUGUCCUGUUCACAGCAGAUCCCAACCCUGAAUGUAUCCCUGAAGCCCAGGCUCCAGAGAUACUGACAUUACAGAGUAGGGUGUAGGAUGGGGUAUCCAUGGGUGUCCUUCCCCUUCAUUGGGGAGCAUUGGGGUGACUUGUGGAGGACACAGUCACCUCCUAUGCUGUGUGGAGAGAGGCACUGAGCAGGAUUUGGCCCCCAGGCAAUUUGGCUCAGGGGCCUUUGAGGAGGUCACCAAGGCUGUUGGAGAUGCCCAUCAUCUGGAAGCUAUCAGGAUGCUCUGGAGGGCAUCCCCCAGCUUGCAGGGUCAAUGUGGCAGGCACAAGUGCUGGGAUGCCAGAAGUUGCCUUCCUGAUCACGCUCACCCUGCUAGGGAGGGAUGAGAGCAUUGUGCUUUAAAGAGCAUCCCCAACCCUAUCAGCAAGAGAUGAGAUAUCCUAAUUAUGGCAGAACAGGCGAGGAUCCGGGCCGUAUCAGCCAGCACAGAAAGGAUCACACCAAGAAGCAUCUACGAGCCUGCUGCAUGGCUCGUGGGAAGGCAGCCUGCUUCGUACAGACAACCUCGGGUUGUGCUUAACAGGCAAGGGAAACUGAGGCAGGACUGCAUGGAGGGGAUACCCCACCAUGGAACAACACACUGGUUCUUGCAAAAGAUGUCCCCUAGAAAGUGAACUCUGAAGGGGCACUGGCACAAUGAAGCCCCAUCCUUCUCCUUGCUUGGACCUAUGACUAUGGAAGGGAUCCACUGGGAAAAGAGACCCUGAGACCCAUUGAGCACACCUCCACUCCAAACCCACAUCCAGGGGAACAGCCCAGACAUUCAUUACACAUUCAGGGUGUGCACAUGGCAGGGAAUAAACUCCCAUUGUUACUCAUUAUAAGGAUGCAGUUUCUAACUCCUUUUGCAACCGAGAGGUAAAAAUUAAUGGGUUCCCCUCCUCUCGCCACACCCCCAGCCUGAGUGCUGAUGCAGCAGCAGCAAACAAUGACUAAUCCUCCUUAAACCCUACUGAGCGAA